UACGGAGGGUGCAAGCGUUAUCCGGAUUCACUGGGUUUAAAGGGUGCGUAGGUGGACUGGUAAGUCAGAGGUGAAAUCUCCGGGCUCAACUCGGAAACUGCCUUUGAUACUAUUAGUCUUGAAUAUUGUGGAGGUUAGCGGAAUAUGUCAUGUAGCGGUGAAAUGCUUAGAUAUGACAUAGAACACCAAUUGCGAAGGCAGCUGGCUACACAUAUAUUGACACUGAGGCACGAAAGCGUGGGGAUCAAACAGG
Molecule: ribosomal RNA, 253 nt
Filed under: uncultured bacterium
Lineage: Bacteria
Description: partial 16S ribosomal RNA
Rfam family: Bacterial small subunit ribosomal RNA
Source: RNAcentral